UACGUAGGGAGCAAGCGUUGUCCGGAUUUACUGGGUGUAAAGGGUGCGUAGGCGGCUUUGCGAGUCAGAAGUGAAAUCUAUGGGCUUAACCCAUAAACUGCUUUUGAAACUGCAGGGCUUGAGUGAAGUAGAGGUAGGCGGAAUUCCCGGUGUAGCGGUGAAAUGCGUAGAGAUCGGGAGGAACACCAGUGGCGAAGGCGGCCUACUGGGCUUUAACUGACGCUGAGGCACGAAAGCGUGGGUAGCAAACAGG
Molecule: ribosomal RNA, 253 nt
Filed under: uncultured bacterium
Lineage: Bacteria
Description: partial 16S ribosomal RNA
Rfam family: Bacterial small subunit ribosomal RNA
Source: RNAcentral